CAGCAGCCGCGGUAAUACGAAGGGGGCUAGCGUUGCUCGGAAUGACUGGGCGUAAAGGGCGCGUAGGCGGAUUGUUUAGUUAGGCGUGAAAUUCCUGGGCUUAACCUGGGGACUGCGCUUAAUACAGGCAGUCUAGAGUGAGGAAGAGGGUUGUGGAAUUCCCAGUGUAGAGGUGAAAUUCGUAGAUAUUGGGAAGAACACCGGUGGCGAAGGCGGCAACCUGGUCCUUGACUGACGCUGAGGCGCGAAAGCGUGGGGAGCAAACAGGAUUAGAUACCCCCGUAGUCCCUGUCUCUUAUAC
Molecule: ribosomal RNA, 301 nt
Filed under: uncultured bacterium
Lineage: Bacteria
Description: partial 16S ribosomal RNA
Rfam family: Bacterial small subunit ribosomal RNA
Source: RNAcentral